Non-coding RNA from Sphaerobolus stellatus SS14, 72 nucleotides. The record is from the annotation of a GenBank genome assembly. Lineage: Eukaryota; Fungi; Basidiomycota; Agaricomycetes; Geastrales; Sphaerobolaceae.
GUAUCCAUCGAUUAGUGUCUAUAUCACCUCGUUGUGGGUGAGGAGCCCAGUGUUCGACUCACUGUGGGCACA